RNAcentral lists this ribosomal RNA (135 nucleotides) under Danio rerio (zebrafish). Lineage: Eukaryota; Metazoa; Chordata; Actinopteri; Cypriniformes; Danionidae. The record is from RNAcentral.
GUCCGCGUCUGCAUCGCAGUGCACCGAAGAAACGAUUAAUUUUGACACCCCUAUUGUCUGCUGAAGCUAAGCAGGGCUGAGCCCAGUCAGUACUCGAAUGGGAGACCGCAUGAGAAAGCUAGGUUGCUGCUGGAA